CGAGAAGGGCGUUUGGUGAAUGCCUUGGCAGUAAGAGGCGAUGAAGGACGUGAUACUCUGCGAUAAGUCAUGGGGAGCCGAGAAUAGGCUUUGAUCCAUGAAUUUCCGAAUGGGGGAACCCACCUGACAGU
This 131-nucleotide ribosomal RNA is filed under the name Paraphysomonas imperforata. RNAcentral describes it as "partial Bacterial large subunit ribosomal RNA". It matches the Rfam family "Bacterial large subunit ribosomal RNA", at positions 1 to 139 of the family's 2925-position model. The record is from RNAcentral. Lineage: Eukaryota; Chrysophyceae; Chromulinales; Paraphysomonadaceae.